RNAcentral lists this ribosomal RNA (162 nucleotides) under Androsace rigida. RNAcentral describes it as "5.8S ribosomal RNA". It matches the Rfam family "5.8S ribosomal RNA". From Rfam's summary of the family: 5.8S ribosomal RNA (5.8S rRNA) is a component of the large subunit of the eukaryotic ribosome. Lineage: Eukaryota; Viridiplantae; Streptophyta; Magnoliopsida; Ericales; Primulaceae. The record is from RNAcentral.
AAACGACUCUCGGCAACGGAUAUCUAGGCUCUCGCAUCGAUGAAGAACGUAGCAAAAUGCGAUACUUGGUGUGAAUUGCAGAAUCCCGUGAACCAUCGAGUUUUUGAACGCAGGUUGCGCCCGAAGCCAUUAGGCCGAGGGCACGCCUGCCUGGGCGUCUCA